This 301-nucleotide unclassified non-coding RNA is filed under the name Rhizophagus prolifer. Its description in RNAcentral is "partial contains 5.8S ribosomal RNA and internal transcribed spacer 2". The stretch from base 1 to 71 matches the Rfam family "5.8S ribosomal RNA", at positions 84 to 154 of the family's 154-position model. Lineage: Eukaryota; Fungi; Glomeromycota; Glomeromycetes; Glomerales; Glomeraceae. The record is from RNAcentral.
GUGAAUCAUCGAAUUUUUGAACGCAAAUUGCACUCUCUGGUAACCCGGGGAGUAUGCCUGUUUGAGGGUCAGUGUUAAUAAAAAUCGGUGCGUUGCAAUUUUUGUGAUGUUCCGGAGUUUGAGUUAUCUUAACUUCCUUCUGGGUUUUUAAGAGGCUUAAAAUUGACCUUUUUUGUGCAUUUUAGACGUACAUAAAUUUUUUUAUUCGUUUAUCUUAAUGCCAAAAUCUAUUAGAUGCGACCAUAUCGUGUGGUUUCGUGUCUAUAAAUUUUUCAUGAUUUGACCUCAAAUCAGGUAGGAA